UGGGGAAUAUUGCACAAUGGGCGCAAGCCUGAUGCAGCGACGCCGCGUGGGGGAUGAAGGCCUUCGGGUUGUAAACUCCUUUCGCUAUCGACGAAGCCACUUGCGGUGACGGUAGGUAGAUAAGAAGCACCGGCUAACUACGUGCCAGCAGCCGCGGUAAUACGUAGGGUGCAAGCGUUGUCCGGAAUUACUGGGCGUAAAGAGCUCGUAGGUGGUUUGUCGCGUCGUCUGUGAAAUCCCGGGGCUUAACUUCGGGCGUGCAGGCGAUACGGGCAUAACUUGAGUGCUGUAGGGGAGACUGGAAUUCCUGGUGUAGCGGUGAAAUGCGCAGAUAUCAGGAGGAACACCGAUGGCGAAGGCAGGUCUCUGGGCAGUUACUGACGCUGAGAGCGAAAGCAUGGGUAGCGAACAGGAUUAGAUACCCUGGUAGU
RNAcentral lists this ribosomal RNA (431 nucleotides) under uncultured Mycobacteriales bacterium. RNAcentral's name for it is "bacterial SSU rRNA". It matches the Rfam family "Bacterial small subunit ribosomal RNA", at positions 355 to 794 of the family's 1533-position model. The record is from RNAcentral. Lineage: Bacteria; Bacillati; Actinomycetota; Actinomycetes; Mycobacteriales.